RNAcentral lists this long non-coding RNA (301 nucleotides) under Brachypodium distachyon (stiff brome). RNAcentral's name for it is "long non-coding RNA (BDIS_LNC004565)". Lineage: Eukaryota; Viridiplantae; Streptophyta; Magnoliopsida; Poales; Poaceae. The record is from RNAcentral.
CUCUUAUCUCUUUGGGCAAGAAGAGCCUGACAGGUGGGCCCCACCUGUCAGUGGCUCAGCUCGGGCGCGCGGGGCGCUAGCGGGCGGGCGGGCUAGCCGGGCCGGUUCGCGAGGCCGGGCCGACGGGCGCGCGCGUGCGGCGGGCGGGGCCGGUUCGGCCCAUUCCGCCGGGCCGGUCCGUUUCUUUUCUUUUCUCUUUUUCUUUUUCUGUUUUUCCUUUAUAGCUUUUGAUUUUGAACUCGAAAUGAACUCAAAUAAAUUCCAGAAAAUUUGUAAAAUCAUAUCCUCAAAUGCCAUAGCA